GAGUUAUCUGACCUUCGGGGAACGAUAACGGCGUCUAGCGGCGGACGGGUGAGUAAUGCCUAGGAAAUUGCCCUGAUGUGGGGGAUAACCAUUGGAAACGAUGGCUAAUACCGCAUGAUGCCUACGGCCAAAGAGGGGGACCUUCGGGCCUCUCGCGUCAGGAUAUGCCUAGGUGGGAUUAGCUAGUUGGUGAGUAAGGGCUCACCAAGGCGACGAUCCCUAGCUGGUCUGAGAGGAUGAUCAGCCACACUGGAACUGAGACCGGUCCAGACUCCUACGGGAGGCAGCAGUGGGGAAUAUUGCACAAUGGGCGCAAGCCUGAUGCAGCCAUCCGCGUGUGUGAAGAAGGCCUUCGGGUUGUAAAGCACUUUCAGUCGUGAGGAAGGUGGUGUAGUUAAUAGUGCAUUAUUUGACGUUAGCUGCAGAAGAAGCACCGGCUAACUCCGUGCCAGCAGCCGCGGUAAUACGGGGGUGCGAGCGUUAAUCGGAAUUACUGGGCGUAAAGCGCAUGCAGGUGGUUUGUUAAGUCAGAUGUGAAACCCGGGGCUCAACCUCGGAAUUGCAUUUGAAACUGGCAGACUAGAGUACUGUAGAGGGGGGGUAGAAUUCAGUGUAGCGGUGAAAUGCGUAGAGAUCUGAAGGAAUACCGGUGGCGAAGGCGGCCCCCUGGACAGAUCUGACACUCAGAUGCGAAAGGCGUGGGGAGCAAACAAGGAUUAGAUACCCUGGUAGUCCACGCC
This 740-nucleotide ribosomal RNA is filed under the name Vibrio parahaemolyticus. RNAcentral's name for it is "bacterial SSU rRNA". It matches the Rfam family "Bacterial small subunit ribosomal RNA", at positions 69 to 801 of the family's 1533-position model. Lineage: Bacteria; Pseudomonadati; Pseudomonadota; Gammaproteobacteria; Vibrionales; Vibrionaceae. The record is from RNAcentral.